GACAGAGGAUGCAAGCGUUAUCCGGAAUGAUUGGGCGUAAAGCGUCUGUAGGUGGCUUUUUAAGUCCGCCGUCAAAUCCCACGGCUCAACCGUGGAACUGCUUGGCAUACUGGCGGUCUUGAGCAACCUAGGGGCGAGCGGAACAAAUGGUGGAGCGGUGAAAUGCGUAGAUAUCAUUUGGAACGCCAAUGGUGAAAACAGCUCGCUGGGGGUUUGCUGACGCUGAGACACGAAAGCCAGGGGAGCAAACGGG
This 253-nucleotide ribosomal RNA is filed under the name uncultured bacterium. RNAcentral describes it as "partial 16S ribosomal RNA". It matches the Rfam family "Bacterial small subunit ribosomal RNA", at positions 524 to 776 of the family's 1533-position model. The record is from RNAcentral.